Molecule: ribosomal RNA, 418 nt
Filed under: uncultured bacterium
Lineage: Bacteria
Description: bacterial SSU rRNA
Rfam family: Bacterial small subunit ribosomal RNA
Source: RNAcentral
GGAAUAUUGGUCAAUGGACGGUAGUCUGAACCAGCCAAGUCGCGUGCGGGAAGAAGGCCCUCCGGGUCGUAAACCGCUUUAGCCGGGGCGUAACGUGGGGGUCGUGACCUCCAGUGAGAGUACCCGGAGAAUAAGCAUCGGCUAACUCCGUGCCAGCAGCCGCGGUAAUACGGAGGAUGCGAGCGUUAUCCGGAUUUAUUGGGUUUAAAGGGUGCGCAGGCGGCACGUCAAGUCAGCGGUCAAAAUGCGGUGCUCAACGCCGUACCGCCGUUGAGACUGGCGCGCUCGAGUGCGUGGGAGGAUUGCGGAAUGCGCGGUGUAGCGGUGAAAUGCAUAGAUAUCGCGCAGAACCCCGAUUGCGAAGGCAGCAGUCCAUCACGCCACUGACGCUCAUGCACGAAAGCGUGGGUAUCGAACA